Suncus etruscus (white-toothed pygmy shrew) is the source of this 211-nucleotide small nucleolar RNA. RefSeq annotates it as small nucleolar RNA U3. The record is from RefSeq and is a predicted model, not a curated record. NCBI's taxonomy places the organism in Eukaryota, Metazoa, Chordata, Mammalia, Eulipotyphla, Soricidae. The transcript has a single exon.
AAGACUAUACUUUUAGAGAACAUUUCUUCAGUGUGUAACUAGAGAAGUUUCUCUGAUCAUGUAGGGCACCCGAAGCCAUGAGGAACCAGAGCGUCCUCUUCUGAGCAUGAAGCUGGGUCGAGGUGUUUAUCCUGUGGCUGCCUGUGCCCAUCAAUGAUCUUUCUUCCUUUCAUCUGGAAAAGGUAAAGGGAGAGGAUGCAGUCUGAGUGGU